This 408-nucleotide ribosomal RNA is filed under the name uncultured Lyngbya sp. Its description in RNAcentral is "bacterial SSU rRNA". It matches the Rfam family "Bacterial small subunit ribosomal RNA", at positions 153 to 595 of the family's 1533-position model. Lineage: Bacteria; Bacillati; Cyanobacteriota; Cyanophyceae; Oscillatoriales; Microcoleaceae. The record is from RNAcentral.
GAAACGGGGGCUAUACCGGAUGAGCCGCACGUGAAAGAUUAAUCGCCUGAAGAUGAGCUCGCGUCUGAUUAGCUAGUUGGAGAGGUAAAAGCUCACCAAGGCAACGAUCAGUAGCUGGUCUGAGAGGAUGACCAGCCACACUGGGACUGAGACACGGCCCAGACUCCUACGGGAGGCAGCAGUGGGGAAUUUUCCGCAAUGGGCGAAAGCCUGACGGAGCAAGACCGCGUGAGGGAGGAAGGCUCUUGGGUUGUAAACCUCUUUUCUCAGGGAAGAAGCAAAUGACGGUACCUGAGGAAUCAGCCUCGGCUAACUCCGUGCCAGCAGCCGCGGUAAUACGGAGGAGGCAAGCGUUAUCCGGAAUUAUUGGGCGUAAAGCGUCCGUAGGUGGCUUCUCAUGUCUGUGGU